AGUGAACGCUGGCGGUAGGCCUAACACAUGCAAGUCGAACGGCAGCACAGUAAGAGCUUGCUCUUACGGGUGGCGAGUGGCGGACGAGUGAGGAAUACAUCGGAAUCUACUUUUUCGUGGGGGAUAACGUAGGGAAACUUACGCUAAUACCGCAUACGACCUACGGGUGAAAGCAGGGGAUCUUCGGACCUUGCGCGAUUGAAUGAGCCGAUGUCGGAUUAGCUAGUUGGCGGGGUAAAGGCCCACCAAGGCGACGAUCCGUAGCUGGUCUGAGAGGAUGAUCCGCCACACUGGAACUGAGACACGGUCCAGACUCCUACGGGAGGCAGCAGUGGGGAAUAUUGGACAGUGGGCGCAAGCCUGAUCCAGCCAUACCGCGUGGGUGAAGAAGGCCUUCGGGUUGUAAAGCCCUUUUGUUGGGAAAGAAAAGCAGCAGGUUAAUACCCCGCUGUUCUGACGGUACCCAAAGAAUAAGCACCGGCUAACUUCGU
This 491-nucleotide ribosomal RNA is filed under the name uncultured bacterium. RNAcentral describes it as "partial 16S ribosomal RNA". It matches the Rfam family "Bacterial small subunit ribosomal RNA", at positions 29 to 506 of the family's 1533-position model. The record is from RNAcentral.